This 118-nucleotide transfer RNA is filed under the name Xylaria grammica. RNAcentral describes it as "tRNA-Arg". It matches the Rfam family "tRNA". Rfam says of the family: Transfer RNA (tRNA) molecules are approximately 80 nucleotides in length. Their secondary structure includes four short double-helical elements and three loops (D, anti-codon, and T loops). Further hydrogen bonds mediate the characteristic L-shaped molecular structure. tRNAs have two regions of fundamental functional importance: the anti-codon, which is responsible for specific mRNA codon recognition, and the 3' end, to which the tRNAs corresponding amino acid is attached (by aminoacyl-tRNA synthetases). tRNAs cope with the degeneracy of the genetic code in two manners: having more than one tRNA (with a specific anti-codon) for a particular amino acid; and 'wobble' base-pairing, i.e. permitting non-standard base-pairing at the 3rd anti-codon position. The record is from RNAcentral. Lineage: Eukaryota; Fungi; Ascomycota; Sordariomycetes; Xylariales; Xylariaceae. RNAcentral also lists the same sequence under 1 other name.
GGCCUCGUGGCCCAAUGGCAAGGCGUCUGACUACGAAGACAAUUCCCCCCGGUAUUCACUCGGUAAAGAAUUGUCCACGGUAAUCAGGAGAUUCUGGGUUCGACCCCCAGCGAGGUCA